GCCUUCAGGCCACUGGCAUCUGGCCCCUCCCGUGUGGGCUGAAUUGGGUUCGAACAUUUAUAGUUCGUAUCUUAGACUGGGAAGGGAGAGGGACAAAGGAUACAGGAACUAGCAAAUUCCUCCCGCCUCAGUCGGCAAGAAACGCUAUCCAUGGGCUCCAGCUUCGCAGGCCUGCGUGAAACGCGCAGGCGUUGGAGGAGGGCGUGGGAAGGAAAGCCGACGAGAGCUCGGCGUGGGCCAGUGCGCAGGCGCGGGACGCUUGCUGCGCCUUCACUAGCCCAGGACCACACCUGUGGCUCCAAUGCGAGUGUUUUUUUCAGUUUCCUACCUGCAUGGAUUACCUUAAAAAAAUUCAACAUCAGGGAGUACCCAAGUUUGUGGCACAAGCAUGUACUGAGCACUUGCCUUGUGGCAGGCACCGUGAAGUCCCUGGGAUAGAGAGAAUCCAGAGUUUCGCUGCUUUACCCAGGCUGGAAUGCAGUGGCGAGAUCUCAGCUCACUGC
Rhinopithecus roxellana (golden snub-nosed monkey) is the source of this 503-nucleotide long non-coding RNA. RefSeq lists it as uncharacterized. The transcript has 3 exons. Lineage: Eukaryota; Metazoa; Chordata; Mammalia; Primates; Cercopithecidae. The record is from RefSeq and is a predicted model, not a curated record.